AAAAAUACUAAUGGAAGUUAUACGUGUGGUUGCAACCAAGGAUUCAAACUCUCUCAAGAUGGAAAAAAUUGCGAAAUUUGUCUAAUGUGUCAUCCAGAAUUCGAGUUUCUAAUGGUCCGCGUUGAACUACUUGAAACGGAGGUUAAAGAAUUGAGAACUCUACUAAAAAACAAAACAUUUUAUGGGACAACAGAUUCUCCGUCAAAGCAGCCGAGUGUUUUUCCAAAUCAGAUUAUUAAUGAUGGUCAUAUAUCGCAAAUUGAAAUCAUUCCAUCGUUGAGUGAGCAGAUAUCUAUUCUAGAAGAAAAAUUAGCAUUUUGUGACUGUAGGCCUCCACCAAAGCAUCGUCGUUACAACUGAUGAGAACAUUCCAUCAUUUGGCAGCUUCAAUUUCCAGUUGGUAGCCGCCAAUUUUCGAGCCUCAAGAAGAACCAGUGUUUACUACCGUACCUCCUCUUAGUUCUGUAUCAUACUGUUAAAACAACUGCUGGAUCAAGAAAACUAUGAAUGAAAUUUGAAGAAGAUAUAUACUGUAUAAAUAAACAGCAUUAUUUCCAGCAUCUCAAGACAAUUUUUGAAAUAAAUAUAUUCGGCUGUUUAUUGGGCGAAUAUGGCUGCAACUAUGUGAAUUAUGAAAAAUAUCGGAAUCAAUGGCCGACCAUAUUUAGUUUUAGAAAUGGAAAUUGUUUAGCCAUAUUAUUAUUUUUUAUUGAAUUUUACUGUAAUACGCAUAAAAGUCAUGACAGUAUGCGCCUUAUAAGUCACAAUAUGUUGGUAAUUAUUAAUAUUAUUAUAAAAUUGAAAAGGGGCAACAGUAUACGGGAUGUCUACUUUAAAUUAUUUUAUAACUUUGACAAAUGCAUGAAUAUGCAUUUGUAAAAAUCAUACAGUUUACAGUAACAACAUUUGAUAGGCCUAUUUUUUUUUUAAUUAAACGUACAUGUUUAUACCGUAUAGGCCGAUUACUUCUUGGAUUCUCUAUGGAGUAAUGAUGACGUCACCGUGAUAAUUGGGAUCCCUUUAAAUGCAUUGAUAUUUAUUGGUGUGAACAUCUCUUUGCGUUGCUAUAGGAUACGCUUCCAAGACACGAACAGAAACGGAUUACGGAUUUGUCUUGGUAAUCAUGUUUUAUAAUUAUAUUAUAUAGGCAUAUUGUAUAAUUCUUAUUCUAAAAAGUAAGGUUUAGUUCAACAGCAAUGCUUUUAAAAUAAUUACCGUACGGUAUUUCUUCGAAUAAACACCCCGGGCGUUUAUUGUUAGGAAUGGGGGUGGGAGCGUUUAUUCGAGGGAGGUACUAGUAAACACAAAGAACGUUCAAACGUUGUGACAUUGAGAAAUUAGGUUAUAAGUACAAUACGUACAUAUGGUUCUACAAAGUAACGUUUUUAUCACAAAAUAAUAAUAAUAAUAAUAAUAAUAAUAAUAAUAUUAAUAAAUUACUAUUUAUAUAGCGCAUAUUGCAAGAAACUGCUUCUAUGCACUUAACAACAACUAAAAAGGAUUUAAAAUAAAAAAUAAAAUAAAUUCGGAUAACGUAAUAUUGUUAGCCUCUUAAUUUCACUGUAAAUGUGGACAGUAUUGUACCGUCUAAAUGUGUGAUCAUAAAGACCUAUUGAUACAAACUAGGUUAGAAAAAAUGUAAUUCUACAGGAUUAGAACAUUAAUAGUAUGUGUUGAGAAUGAUAUUGCGUCCAUUAUAUUUUUGUUUACAGUCAAUUAUGGAGGGGGUCGUUUAUUCAAUGGAAACGUUCAUUCCAAAUGGGGAGCUUAUUCGAGAGGGAGGGGGCGUUUAUUUGAAUAAAUACGGUAAUUAAAAUAUUAAUCUCAGAAAGUAUUCGUUUCCAAUUGUCACCGUGAAGAGAGGUAAGCCUACUCGAAAUAAUCAAUUGUGUUGCCUUUCAUUGAACAAAUAAAUUAUUCACAUAGGAAACUAUUAAAUUCGGCAAAACUAUAAUUAUCUUUAUAUAAAAUGCUGAAAAGUUUAGCAAGUUAAUAUUCCGUUACGGAAGAUUUAUGGUUAAAAAAUAAUUACAGUCUUUGAAUUUCAUUGACAACAUUUGUUGGACUAUGCAAUGAAUUGAAAAGUUUAUUGCAAACACGAACGUCAUUGAAAACAAAAUUUAAUGAUGUUUUUAGGUAAAAAAUAUAAUAUAGACGUUGUUGACAAGAGUAAGGGGAAAAAAAUCCAAAACAAAACAAAAAAAACAAAUGCAAGAGAGAGGACAUUGUUUCAUCGGUGCUUAAACGCAAAUUAAACUGAUCGGUGUAAAGUUGCUAUUAGUAAAUUCUUCUUCUUAGUUUGAUUACCCAGCAAAAUAAAACGUAUUAUUAUAACAUUCGCGAAUGGCUGUGAACGUUGUUGUUAGGUUGUCAGAAAUUGACGUUAACACAACGUUGCAGCAACGUUAUCAAUUUUAUUUAGUUGGAACUUACGGUAUAAAUACGUCUGUAUAUUCUAAAAAAAUAACGUGUAAAGCACUAAAUUGUAAGGUUAGGCCUAUUUUAACGCAAAAAUGUUAGGGGUAGGCCUAAGGUAGUUUGUGUUAUGAAUAUGUCUUUAAAUUUGUGUUCUCAAAAUAGGAAUAAAGUAACGAAUAACGCUGCUGUUCAAUAAAUUCCUAAAAGUUUAUCAAGCUGUAUAUUUUAGUCUAUUUUGUAUUCAUUGUUUUUAGUUUACUGAAUAAACAUUUGUUGUAGACAUUCAUGAGUUUGAUAAAAUAAAAUAUGAUUCAAAUAUA
RNAcentral lists this long non-coding RNA (2738 nucleotides) under Anneissia japonica. RNAcentral's name for it is "uncharacterized LOC117121457". Lineage: Eukaryota; Metazoa; Echinodermata; Crinoidea; Comatulida; Comatulidae. The record is from RNAcentral.